UGGAGCAGGAAUGUCAAACUUCUGGUGCAUAGCUGGAAGGCUGUGAAAAAAUAUAUUCGAGUAACUAUUUCUUUUAACAAGAGACAUGAGAACAAGAGUUCGUGUUAGUGCAGAUUGUGGUACCCAAGGAUGUGCACCAUAGACCGGCAAGAGAAUCAAGAUGCCUCUGUACCAUGUAAGCGGGACAGGAAAGGAGCGAGGACGAGACGUUCCCGUGAUACCUUUCUAAAAGAAGUGAAUGCUUUUGUUAAG
Cucurbita moschata (crookneck pumpkin) is the source of this 252-nucleotide long non-coding RNA. RefSeq lists it as uncharacterized. Lineage: Eukaryota; Viridiplantae; Streptophyta; Magnoliopsida; Cucurbitales; Cucurbitaceae. The transcript has 3 exons. The record is from RefSeq and is a predicted model, not a curated record.